UCCCCUACGGGACGCAGCAGUGGGGAAUAUUGGGCAAUGGGCGCAAGCCUGACCCAGCAACGCCGCGUGAAGGAAGAAGGCUUUCGGGUUGUAAACUUCUUUCGACAGGGAAGAGUAGAAGACGGUACCUGUCGAAUAAGCCACGGCUAACUACGUGCCAGCAGCCGCGGUAAUACGUAGGUGGCAAGCGUUGUCCGGAUUUACUGGGUGUAAAGGGCGUGCAGCCGGGAGUGCAAGUCAGAUG
RNAcentral lists this ribosomal RNA (244 nucleotides) under uncultured bacterium. RNAcentral's name for it is "partial 16S ribosomal RNA". It matches the Rfam family "Bacterial small subunit ribosomal RNA", at positions 335 to 594 of the family's 1533-position model. The record is from RNAcentral.